Molecule: ribosomal RNA, 441 nt
Filed under: uncultured bacterium
Lineage: Bacteria
Description: partial 16S ribosomal RNA
Rfam family: Bacterial small subunit ribosomal RNA
Source: RNAcentral
CUACGGGAUGCAGCAGUGGGGAAUAUUGCACAAUGGGCGCAAGCCUGAUGCAGCAACGCCGCGUGAAGGAUGAAGGCCUUCGGGUCGUAAACUUCUGUCCUUGGGGAAGAAACAAAUGACGGUACCCAUGGAGGAAGCCCCGGCUAACUACGUGCCAGCAGCCGCGGUAAUACGUAGGGGGCAAGCGUUAUCCGGAAUUAUUGGGCGUAAAGAGUGCGUAGGUGGUUACCUAAGCGCAGGGUUUAAGGCAAUGGCUCAACUAUUGUUCGCCCUGUGAACUGGGCUACUUGAGUGCAGGAGAGGAAAGCGGAAUUCCUAGUGUAGCGGUGAAAUGCGUAGAUAUUAGGAGGAACACCAGUGGCGAAGGCGGCUUUCUGGACUGUUACUGAUACUGAGGCACGAAAGCGUGGGGAGCAAACAGGAUUAGAUACCCUCGUAGUC